GUCUGAAUUAAGUGUUUUCGGUGUCCAGUGUAGAGUUAAGGUAUUGAAAGGUGCCUUUUUGAAGAAGUUACAUCACAGUGGUCUUCCGGAGCCUGAAAUUAGAGUAUAAAAUGUCUUUCAAAUCACGCAGUGCUUAAAAGAAAAUUUUACCAAAGUUAGAAGAAUUGCUUGUUGAAACUGAGCAAGCAGUGCCAAAUGGUCCUGGAUAACAAGCAGGACGACGACUCAGACACCAACAUGAACUCCUUAGUCAGCACAGAGUCCAUGGACACCGGAGAAGAGGACAUGUCACAAGUAGAUGGAUGUGGGUUAAGUGGUGCAUCUGACGAUGACGAAGAAUGUGCAUCCUCACCAGCAGGCUCCGCAUAUGAAGAUGCUGGAGAUGUCAUCAAGAGUGCUAUGAGCGAUGAAGUCACCAAGCAACUUGCAGCCGCUGGUCCCGUGGGGAUGGCUGCUGCAGCCGCUAUAGCAUCGUCAAAGAAACGCAAGCGACCACAUUCGUUUGAAACCAACCCCUCAGUAAGGAAACGACAUCAAAACCGUCUACUACGAAAACUUAGACAAACAAUAGAAGAAUUUGCAACUCGCGUUGGUCAACAAGCUGUGGUACUGGUAGCGACCCCCGGCAAACCCAACACAUCGUAUCGAGUUUUCGGUGCGAAGCCGCUAGAAGAUGUGGUGCGAAAUUUACGCUGCAUGAUCAUGGAGGAGUUGGAGAAUGCGCUUGCACAGCAGUUCGGGCUGGGCUCGGGCCCGCAGGCGCCGCCGCCGCCACAAGAUGACCCUUCGCUCUUCGAGCUGCCGCCUCUCAUCAUCGACGGCAUCCCCACGCCCGUCGAGAAAAUGACGCAGGCGCAGCUCCGCGCCUUCAUUCCGCUCAUGCUUAAGUACUCUAUGGUGCGCGGAAAGCCUGGCUGGGGUCGUGAAUCGACGCGUCCGCCUUGGUGGCCCAAGGACCUGCCCUGGGCCAACGUACGAAUGGAUGCACGAUCGGAGGACGAGAAACAAAAGAUGUCGUGGACACACGCGCUCCGUCAGAUAGUGAUAAACUGCUACAAGUAUCAUGGGCGAGAAGAUCUUUUACCUGCCUUCACUGAAGAUGAUGAUGAUAAGCAUACAAGAGCGUUGUCGCCAUCCGUACGUAUAUUAUACGAACUCACACAAACCGAAUUCUCAACAAUUACAAAUUCGUCACAAUGUAUGCCUAGUGGUAGUUGCAACUCGAGUGGUUCGGGCAAGCACAGUUCACAGCAAGCAGUGCUUACUUCUCAGCAAGUCUGCAUUGAUCAAAUGACACUCGCCGAUGUCGAUAUGUCUCAGUACGCGCCCGCAGUUCUUCAAACAAUAACAAACCCAGAUGGUUCAGUCUCGUUGAUACAAGUGGACCCUAAUAGUCCAAUCAUCACAUUGCCUGAUGGAACUACUGCGCAAGUUAUUCAAAGUACAGAUGGUGGUACCGUAGUAAGCGGAGUGAAUGUUAGUGGUUUGGACGGUGAAGGCGUCUCUGUAGACCUCAAUGAAGCUGGACUGAAUUCUGACACGCAGAUUAUCCUCACCACUGAUGAUGGACAUGGUUACCCGGUAUCAGUGUCGGGAGUUAUAACAGUGCCAGUGUCGGCCUCGGUCUAUCAAUCAAUGGUUGCUUCAAUGCAACAGCAAGAUGGCGUCUGCGUCGCACCGCUUGUUCAGGUCACAAACAACACACGCAAACAUUCACGCACGCAUACGCGUAUACGCACGCUUACACCCGACGAACACACGUACACGCCCGCUGUCGAUUUGCAUACCUAUAUUAAAGUAGAAGUAGUUUAAAUAUGUACAUCUCUUCGGAUGAUUUAAAAAUGCAUUUUGACAUUUUGGUUAAUGGUCUCAACAGUUAAAAAAUCUAAAAUUUAAAGAUUUUUUCUUCUAAUUACAUUGGAUAUAUGAACCGUUUAAAUGUAUGAGGGUAGUAUUAACUUGCUAAAAUUUUAACCAUUUCAACAUAUUGUGUGUUAUGCAUCUUGUAUUGAUUUUAUUUUAUUAUUAUAUGGGUAAAGUUUUAAGCUUUUCCUACGUCGGAACUAUAUUUGAUAAAAUCUACAAGUCGUAGCAAUUACGACCGAUAUUAUGAAUAUAGAACCCAGGCGUGAUUCCUAAACCCAGUUGACGGUAGUGCUAUGCCAAUUCAUACAGAUGCCAAAAACGUGCUUUUAGUGGAGCUUGUUAUUUAGUUUAUAAAUUAGUGAGUGAACUUAAAUGUUGGUUAAACAGUAUUUUAUAAUUACCAAAAAGUUACCGAUUUUUUUCUAGUCGAAUAGAUUUUACAGAUUUUAUUUUCAAUUGUGCCAUUACAAUAGAUUAGCCCGAGUUGAAAAUCAAUAUAUCAUAGAGAAAAUAGUUUGAUUUAAUAAUAAAAUCUACGAUUCGUUGCGAAAACGAUUGGUAUUUUGAUGUCCAAUACGAGUUGUUAGUGUUGUCAAAAAUAUUCUGUUUCUUAAAAAACAACAGAUAAUUGUGCUAAUUCUGAACUAAUUAACAUAAUAAUAUCAAUUUUGUCAGAUUAAUAUGUCAAAUUUUGAUAUAGUUCAGACUUGGCUAUAUGUUUUGACUUGCAUUAAUAUCAAACUAUAUUUUUAAAUAUUUUGGAUUCAUACUGAGUUUGUGUGCUCUUGAUGUUUUAGCUGUUCAUAGUAUGCUUGUUUAUGAGUCAAACCAGCUUAAAACGCUUUACUGCUAAAUAUUUUGCUAAGCAAAACAUAUAUUCAUAUGUAUAUAUAUUUAACCAACUAUCUAUUAAAAUCUCAAAAUGGGUACUUUUAUUUAUCAUAAGCGUAACAAAAAAUCUGCAGCACGGUCGGUCUGCACGGUCUUGUAUUGAACAUGUGUAUAUGUCGCAGCUAACUAGCUUAAUAAGCCGUUAAAUUAACAGCCUGGCCUUUUAGCUAAACAUCGCCGUUUAACUAGCGGCAUGAAAGAUUUUAAGCCAGCUAGGCAAAUGACAUGGAUCGAUGACGUUUCGCUAAUUGUCUAGCCUUUUGCUUGUUAAUUUAAAUUUAGUUCCACUUUAUGCCACUCUCAAAGAUAAUUUGAAUUUAGCUAUGAUGGACUCAAAAAUUGAAUUGUUAACGAAAUAUUUUUUGUAAGGUGUUUCAUUCUUUUUUUUCUUCCACAUGGGCACUAUCGUACGAAUGGCCAAAGCAUUAGCCAGCCAGUUUAUUAAAUGUUAUUACAAAUGCUACGGCUGAACAUAUUUCAGGCCACUAGUCAAACGGCACAGUUACAAGGCUAGGCUGUUAAUUUAACGGCUUAUUAAGCUAGUUGGCUGCGACAUAUUUAUAAAUUAUUUAUAUAUAUGGGCCCUUGAACCUUUUUGUCGGUUUGAAAGCGUCUUAAACUGGUUUUACUGUAUUAUAUGUGGCGAUCUCAUUGCGUAAUUACUUAUUUGCCUGCUCAUAUUAAUAUUUUUUUAUUAAUUAGUAGGAUAUUUUCGAAAUUCUGUCAAUUGUACCAGUGCAUUUUAAAUUGUUUUUAAGUUUUAAUUAUGUUAAGAUUAAUUUGCAUGUUUAAGCUGUUUUUAGUUUAGUUUAAUUUUCCAAAUUUUAUUGAAUAUUAUUUAUUGCUUGGCAUAAUUCAAUAUUUUGUGCGUUAAGUGUAAGGUAAGAAAAGUUAUUAUUGGAAUUGCCAUUUUUGUGUUACUGUUUGUUUUGCCAGGUAGUGGUUUGUGACGUUUGAAUGAAUAAAAUAUUUUAGUACAAUUUUAAAUAGAUUUAUUAUUUUGUAUAAAUUAGAACUCUCGUCUUACGCAAUGUGAAAAAAAGUUAUUUAGCGUUAAUGCAGAAAGAAUAGAUUUAUUUUUUUAAACGUCUGUUUGUUAAAUUGUUAAGAUUGAGAGUUUAUAAUUUAUGUUGAGUUUUUAAUGAGUACUCGUAUAAAAAGAGUACAGCUUGUCUUUUGAAAUACGAAAAAGACGCUUAGACCUUAGAAUACAGACUCUACGUGAAAUAUAUGGUUUGACAAGUACCAAGGUAUUUGCGAUUAGAUACAGAAAAGAGAAAAAAUGCAUGUUACAAUUUUCUUUACGAGUGCUCUUAUUAUUUUGUGUUAAUAAACGCUGUGAUUCUU
Pieris brassicae (large cabbage white) is the source of this 4104-nucleotide RNA transcript. It is a transcript of the gene named DNA-binding protein Ewg, with no coding region annotated. The transcript is spliced from 13 exons. The record is from RefSeq and is a predicted model, not a curated record. NCBI's taxonomy places the organism in Eukaryota, Metazoa, Arthropoda, Insecta, Lepidoptera, Pieridae.